AGCAGGCAUUCCUUUAGAAAUAAACAGGGAUUCUUAAUUCUGCAACAGCUAGACAGAGUGGGGUUACAGUUAGACCCCCUACAGUCAGCAGAAGAGGUCAUCCUUAUCAAGAGCAUCUCAAUUGUACUGCCAUAGUUUUCAAUACAAACAGUCUCCUUUAUCUUAUGGCAGAUGGCCGGCGGUGCCAGGUCCAUCGGUGCCACCAAUGCUUUUAUCAUGCCAUUACACUUUCUACUGACCAUCCACCAAACAGGCAUCACCUUUUGUUUACACCUUUAUCUCUGCAUCUCAGAGGUCAGCUGAAACAAGCCCCACACCUAUAUAAAAUACACUAAUCAGCCACACACACUGAGGGCCGGCUGUGCCAGGUCCAUCGGAGCCACCAAUGCUUUUAUCAAGCCAUUACACUUUCUACUGACCAUCCUCCAAACAGGUUUCACCUUUUGUUUACACCUUUAUCUCUGCAUCUCAGAGGUCAGCUGAAACAAGCCCCACCUAUAUAAAAGGCCAUAAUCAGUCACAUUGUAUUUUUCCUCACUACUUUACAUCGGUCAUUGAGAGCAUAACACUGUUCAUCAGCACGGACAACAACCCUAAGAGCGUUCUUUUUAACAUGGACAGCAUAUAUGGUAGGUAAAACAAGACUAUUAACGGAUUCUUAAAUUUAUACAACUGUAUAUCAAAAAAUAUUCAAACUGUUUUCUCUUCUAAACAAAAGCCUGAUUUUUAGGAACUUGGCACACUGGGACACCCCACGCGGCACUUACACAAGGAUCACAAAGCUAUAUAGGGCAAACAACACCUCUAACUAAGGAGUGCAGGAUGACGUCGGCAUCAACCAUGACGAACAGCCAGAACAUCGCCCAAGCCACACAAGCUCUAGAGCGAGACAUGCAUGCGUGGGACCUCUCAGACUCGGCUCAAGACAUUCCGAUUCAUCCCUGCCAUUCGCCUGUUUGUACGCUUGUACACAGUCGAUGGGACUAAAACACAAUUCAGCAGGAUAGCAGAACACACCAUGACUGAACUGAGAUCAUCACAACAUAUAGUAUGCGCAAUUAACGACAAUAUUGCACAGCUGCUAGAAGCAAGUCAUUAU
Long non-coding RNA from Oreochromis aureus, 1099 nucleotides. Lineage: Eukaryota; Metazoa; Chordata; Actinopteri; Cichliformes; Cichlidae. The record is from Ensembl.